Non-coding RNA from Pelodiscus sinensis (Chinese soft-shelled turtle), 5029 nucleotides. Lineage: Eukaryota; Metazoa; Chordata; Testudines; Trionychidae. The record is from RefSeq and is a predicted model, not a curated record.
AUUCACCGUCUUGUUAAGAAAGAGAAAAGAAUAAGUAAUUGCUCUUUAAUUUUUUUGUCUUUUCAAGUAUCCGGAGUGUGAUGCAGAAAUAUCUCGAAGAAAGAGGUGAAUUAACUUUUGACAAGAUUUUCAAUCAGAAGAUUGGAUUUUUGCUUUUUAAAGAUUAUUGUAUGAAUGAAAUUGAUGAAGCAGUCCCUCAACUGAAAUUUUAUGAGGAGAUAAAAGAAUAUGAAAAACUAGAUUCUGAGGAGGAACGUCUUAGUAGGAGUCGGCAAAUUUAUGACACAUACAUAAUGAAAGAGCUGCUGUCGUGCUCACAUCCAUUCUCAAAGCAAGCUGUAGAUCAUGUACAAACUCACCUAGCCAAGAAACAAGUGCCACCAACUCUUUUUCAGCCAUACAUAGAAGAAAUUUGUGAUAGUCUCCGUGGAAAAAUAUUUCUAAAAUUUAUGGAAAGUGACAAGUUUACUAGAUUUUGUCAAUGGAAAAACGUAGAACUAAAUAUUCAUCUGACCAUGAAUGACUUUAGUGUACAUAGAAUAAUUGGACGAGGGGGAUUUGGUGAAGUAUAUGGUUGCAGAAAAGCAGACACUGGAAAAAUGUAUGCAAUGAAAUGUUUAGAUAAGAAGAGAAUCAAGAUGAAGCAAGGAGAAACAUUAGCCUUAAAUGAAAGAAUUAUGCUGUCACUAGUCAGUACUGGAGACUGCCCUUUUAUAGUGUGCAUGACCUAUGCCUUCCACACCCCUGACAAACUCUGCUUCAUUCUAGACCUGAUGAAUGGGGGAGAUUUGCACUACCACCUCUCACAGCAUGGGGUGUUUUCUGAGAAGGAGAUGAGAUUUUAUGCCACUGAAAUCAUCCUGGGGUUAGAACACAUGCACAAUCGAUUUGUUGUAUACAGAGACUUGAAGCCUGCUAACAUCCUACUGGAUGAGCACGGACAUGUAAGGAUAUCAGAUCUUGGCCUUGCUUGUGAUUUUUCCAAAAAGAAACCACAUGCUAGUGUUGGUACCCAUGGAUAUAUGGCUCCUGAGGUGCUUCAGAAGGGAACAGCAUAUGACAGCAGUGCAGAUUGGUUCUCUUUAGGCUGUAUGCUUUUCAAACUUCUGAGAGGUCACAGUCCUUUCAGACAGCACAAAACCAAAGACAAGCAUGAGAUUGACCGGAUGACGCUCACCGUGAAUGUGGAGUUACCAGAUUCAUUUUCUCCUGAACUAAAGUCCCUUUUGGAAGGGCUCCUGCAACGCGAUGUUAGCAAGAGGCUUGGCUGUCAGGGUAGCAGUGCGCAAGAAGUAAAAGAGCACCAUUUUUUCAAAGGGAUUGAUUGGCAGCAAGUCUGCUUACAAAAGUAUCCUCCACCACUGGUUCCACCCCGGGGAGAAGUAAAUGCAGCAGAUGCUUUUGAUAUUGGCUCCUUUGAUGAAGAGGACACUAAAGGCAUUAAGUUGGUGGAUAGUGACCAAGAAUUGUAUAAGAACUUUCCUCUGGUAAUAUCAGAGCGUUGGCAGCAAGAAGUAGCCGAAACUGUUUACGAUACAGUAAAUGCAGACACCGAUAAAAUUGAGGCCAGGAAGAAGGCUAAAAAUAAGCAACUGGGCCAUGAGGAAGAUUAUGCACUAGGGAAGGACUGCAUUAUGCAUGGGUACAUGUUGAAACUCGGGAAUCCAUUCUUGACUCAGUGGCAACGUCGUUACUUUUACCUCUUUCCAAACCGACUCGAAUGGCGAGGAGAAGGAGAAUCAAGGGAGACAGGACACCCAGAUGAGACCUGCCAUCCCCUUCCAAAAGUGGGUCGCCAUUGCCAUCUGAAAGCUCACCACACCAGACAGCUACUGCUCCAUUGGGAACCAGUUCAGCAUGGGGAGAUCAACAGUUGGGGCCCUGGUCAUGCAGCAAAAUCUACUGACUAUGGAACAGAUCAUCUCAGUGGAAGAAACUCAGAUUAAAGAUAAGAAGUGCAUCUUGCUGAGAAUUAAAGGAGGAAAACAAUUUGUCCUGCAGUGUGAGAGUGAUCCAGAGUUUGUUCAGUGGAAAAAAGAACUGACAGAAACCUUUACUGAGGCACAGAGGCUGCUGCGUCGUGCUCCAAAGUUUCUUAAUAAAUCUCGCUCCACAGUUGUAAAUGUAGAGCUUUCAAAGCCACCACUCAGCCAUAGGAAUAGCAAUGGUCUGUAGAAGAGAUGAGAGGACAAAAGUUACUUAGGGAAAGCUACUGCAUCACUAUACAUGAAGGCCACAGAAUCAUUUUGAGUUACUUGUACAAUCCCUGAACCGGGAUGUGCUUCGAAGAAGCAGCUUUGAAUGUUUACAGCAUGGGAAGAUGACUAGACUCUACACCUGGAGGUUGUGAAGCCUAAAGCUAUGACAAGAUGAAUUCUCACUAAUAGCAGUAAUGAAAGUUGCCAAAUGUAGAGGCUGCUUAUCAUUCCCAUGCAUCGUCACACCGUAGUGGUGUUCAAAUGAUCUGUUAUCCUAGAACUUUGAAAGGAAGGAAGAUAAUCUGUUCUUUGCAAUACCCUUGUUUUGGUAGGUACCAAACCUGGAAACUGAAAUGGUUGCUAAUCUUUAUCAUUUACAUUUUGAUGUCUGUUACUGACAUACCCCAGACUUUGGAAGGAACCGCAAAUUUGUCAUAUGGGAUAACAGGUAAUCUUAUCUGUUGGCUUGUUCUUUCCAGCCAUAACUAUUGACUUUAAUAUAUUCUGCUCCAUACUGCUGGUGAUCAACAGUGUGUGACUUAUGCACUUCAAAGUACUAAUUUCCAACUGUCCUGUGGUUUGAAUGUUGUUGAUACUUCAUGGAAGCAUUGAACUCAGAUUAUUCACUUGCUUUGUUGUACUCACUAAUAGUAGCUACCACUGUUUUGCUUCUUUUACCUAUAUAAAAACUGUAACUGACACAAUAGAGUAAUAAUUGUUGAAGAGGAAUAUAUGGUAGCUUCAUCUAGUGAUCUGUUGUAUAAAUUGACUAUUUUAGCACAGUUUUUAAACAGUAGAUUCCUUUUUACAAGUUUACAGUGAAUACAUAGACAGUUCUUUUUCCAUGUCAACUCACUGCACUUUUUAAAAAUUAAAAAAUUCUGCAAAUACACUGCAUACCGGUGCAGAUUUUGGAUUAUGUAUGGGUAAUAGGUAUGUAUUUUUUUUGUAUCAAUCCUCAGUUGUUGGACUCAUGGUCCCCUUCUUGUUUUGUUUUGUUUUGUUUUUUUAAGUAGUGGGUUCUCCUACCAAACCUUUAUUUUAGCCAUGCACUUAAUAUUCACAUGCACAUCAGAUGACAGGAAUUGCAAAAAUAUGUGCUAAUUUCCCUUUAUAGAGAAUUCAGACAUUCACACUGAAAACAGUCUGAGAAUAUUGAAGAUGAAAAUGAUUAAAAUAAGACGAUGGUGUGCCAAAUUUAUGUAAAUUCUUAUGUCAUCAUUCGUAUGUCUUAUGUAAGGCAACACUAUAUAGAAGUAAAAAUAUAGAACAUAAUCUUUGGACAACUUUGAACAUUUCAAGAUAAUUUUUACCCUAUUAUGCAUAUUGAAAGUCAUAUAGAAUAUAAUAGGUUUUCAGAGAGGUAGCUAUGUUUUUUGCAAAAGGUAUAAACCAGAGGAGAACUUGAGCCUUUAUCUAUUUCUGAAUUACAUUGUUUGGUGUGGGUCACAUUCUGCUGGGUACAACUCUCAUUGAACCUGUGUAAAUGGGAGCAGAAUUUGCAUCAGCAAUCUGUCUUGUCCUUUAUUUCUAGCUUGUCUGACUAACAGUCAAUAACAGAACUUCAGAACUGUUUCAUAGACAGCAAAGUGCCAAACACUCCAGAAUUCUUUUAGAAAAAUCCUCUCUUUGUCCUCCACAUUCUUGUGAAAUUGGGUGCAUUAGCUAUUAAAAUUGGGAGCGGCUUAAUAACUGAACAGCAUGCACUCUGGUUAGGGAUGUGAAAUACCAGUUAAAGGGAAAGUAAGGGGAGGGAGGGGCUACUCCAGCCACCUUUGUUGAGCUAGAACAUCCCACCUGCUUGAGGCAGGGGCUGCAGCUGCCAGGCUGGAGCAGCUCCUGCCUGCGGGGUGCCUGGGCCCACUGCAGGCAUGGGCUGCUCCAGUCUGGCUAGAGCAGCCCCUGUCUGCAGCAGGCCCUCUGUUAAAGGUGAGGCUUACUGGUUACCCAGUUAAGUAUUUGCAUCCCAAACUCUGACCACAACACCAUUUCUUACAUACUUUGAUAUAGUGUGAAGAAGAAACUGAAUUAAAAUAUUUUAUCCUUGGUAAGUGUUCAUUUUAAAAGAAUAUUUACCCAUUCAUUUUCUUGGUUUAUUUUUUAAAAUGAACAUGGAGUUCCAUUUUUAUCUACUGAAAAGUAAUAAUUUAAGUCCAGGUAUAUUUCUAUAAGCAGUACCUGUGGUAUUUUCCUAAACUCAUGCCCCUGGUAGUACACUAGAUAUUUUUUCAUUGUUUACCUUAAAAAACACACACAGACACAUGUACUCUGAUUUGUGAUUUGAAUAAAAAGAAAGCUGAAUCUAUGAUAAAACCACUCUGAAAAGCCCUUCUGUCUUAAUCUAUUAAUGUUUUCAUGUUUUAUUAAUUCAAGGUCAAUUUGUUCACUUGUAAUUAUUUUCUGUAAUAGAAUUUUUCUGUCAUAAUAAUCUUUGAGAACAUUUGUGGAUCUAUUGUUUUGAUUUUCACAAUAUUACAUUCUUAAAAUACUAGUUUCUGUAGAUAACAGGAAGAUACAUCUUCAGUGAAAAUGUGUUCUGCUAAAACGUUCAUUUCUUUAAAUCAAGUCUAUGUAAUAACUUGUGGAUGAUAUGUUUAUUUAUAAAAUUAAAUUACAAAUUAGAGUCAUUUUGACACUUGAACAUGCUGUGGUUUUGUACAUUAUCACCUCAUUUUUAUAAACUAUUUGAAAUUAUCUGGAUUUUUAUUUUUAAAAUGGAAACUAAAAUCAACUGUCAUUUAAAAUGUACCCCAUUCCCUUUGAUAAUUGCGGAUAGAAGUCAAAUACUAAUAUAAAUCUAUCAAUAUUUACUUCCAGUUUUUUUUUUUUUU